Molecule: RNA transcript, 17646 nt
Organism: Biomphalaria glabrata
Lineage: Eukaryota; Metazoa; Mollusca; Gastropoda; Planorbidae
Gene name: protein eyes shut homolog
Exons: 31
Source: RefSeq, a predicted model, not a curated record
AAGCCGAACUUGCUGAGGGAGUCACACCCCAAAGGACGCCCAUAACUAACCUACAGAGAUGUCUGCAAGUGAGAUCUUAGGACUACACAGGCAGCAAUGAAAGUCAUGGAAUGAAAUCGUGAACUAUCGGUCAGCAAGAAAAUGGAAGCUGCCCUAGCGGAUUGUCUUCAAAUGGGCAUGCUAGAACUGUAGCAAACUUUGCCCCUCAAGAAUGGGCUUGUUUAGUCACAUCAGAUUAGUCUACGCCCGGACUCAAGAAAAUAUCAAAAUGAGUGCUUCAUCAAGACCAAAAGAGCCAUAGAUCAUUAGAAUAUUAUAGUCUAGUAACUGACUCUAGCAGAUUUAUACAUUUGUUGACAGUAUAAAUAUGUUUUCAUUUUUCCCCCUAAGAUGAAUUUUAGCAAGGUCGGUAACCAACAUGAAUAAUGUUGGAGGUAUAAGAUGACUCAAUGCUGGCACCUAAGACUGAUCUAUGUGUUGUGUUGUCUUAGCAUUCAAGUUAUUCAUGGUCAAACAAGCCCUUGUGACUCCAUGGUGUGUUUUAAUGGUUCGCCGUGUGUGGAAACAGCACUUGUAGCUGUUUGUGAUUGUACCCCUGGCUACACUGGCAAGCAAUGUGAAACGAAUAUUGAUGACUGCCAGGUUCCAUUUGCACACCAAUGCCAAAAUAAUGCAGGCUGCAUGGAUGGGUUGAAUAACUAUACGUGUCAGUGCUUAUCAGGCUGGGAAGGGCCAUUCUGCGAGAAGGAAAAGAAUGAAUGUGAGUCUAGUCCUUGCAACAAUGGAGGCAUAUGUAGCGAUCAUUUUGACAGUUUUACAUGUAGUUGUCCUGUAAAUUUUACGGGGCCAACUUGCAAUACGGAUGUCGAUGAAUGUCAAGGUCAACCUUCUCCAUGUUAUAAUGGCGCUAGUUGUUCAAACACUUUUGGAAGCUUCAUGUGCUCUUGUGCAUUAGGAUACACAGGCCAGAUGUGUGAAUCAGAAAUAAACGAAUGUCUUAGCCAGCCCUGUUACUUUCAGGGAACUUGUGUGGAUCUUAUCAACAAUUAUCGUUGUGAAUGUUUGGAUGGGUUUCAAGGGAUGCAAUGUGAAACAGUAGUCAGACAAUGUGUAGUGCAGAACCUUUGUGGGGACAAUGGUAUUUGUAUUGACAAAAUUGAAGGUGGCUAUCAAUGUUUCUGUAAACCUGGUUACUAUGGAGACCAUUGUGAGCUGAUAGUCAACUUGUGUCUGUCUCAGCCAUGUCUGAAUGGUGCAACAUGUACCAAUUAUGGUGUGAGGUACACUUGCUCAUGUUUACCAGGAUUUAGUGGUAUUAACUGUGAAAAUGACAUUGAAGAGUGUGCUUCAUCUCCUUGCCAAAACAAUGGCACAUGUGUGGAACCAACACUAAACAGUUACCAGUGCCAGUGUGCUCCAGGUUACACUGGAACCCAGUGCCAACAAGAUAUUGAUGAUUGUGCUACAAAGCCAUGUAGGGUUUAUCAAGUUUGUAUUGACCUGGUGAAUGGAUUCAGAUGUGAAUGCCCUAUAGGAACUUCAGGGAAUUAUUGUGAACCCAACAACACAUCUGAUUGCAGACACAUUCCUUGUUCGAAUGGAGGAACCUGCAUGUCAAAAGACAAUGUAUUUGUAUGUAUUUGUCCAGCUUCCUACACUGGGGACUUCUGCACAUCUGCUCUUGACAUAUGUGAACCUAGCCCUUGCCAGAAUGGAGGAAGUUGCAUCGCAGUCAAUCAAACUAUGCAUGAAUGUGUGUGCCUUGUAAACUACAGUGGUCCCAAUUGUGAGACUCUAAACUCUGACUGUCUUAAAAGUCCUUGUCAAAAUGGGGGAACUUGUGUAGAUGUAAUGGCUUCUAGUAACAGUAGCAGCUUGAGUUUUUUAAAUACAACAGAAUCAAAAAAAGAUAUGUUUGUAUGUGUCUGUCAUUCUAACUCAACUGGAACAUUGUGUGAGAAUGUAGUAGAGGCUUGUAGCUCCAGUCCAUGCCUCAAUGGAGGCAACUGUUCAUCAUUCAGCUCUAAAGACUAUCACUGUGAUUGUGCUGUGGGCUGGGAGGGUCCAACAUGUUCUGAGAAUAUCAAUGAAUGUCUGUUCACAUCUCCAGUUUGUCAAAACAAUGGAACAUGUACAGAUCAGGCUCCUGGAUUUAUUUGUAAAUGUGGCAGUGAGUGGACAGGAGAUCAGUGUGAUGAAGAUGUUGUGGAUUGUCAGCCAGAUACUUGUCAGAAUGGUGGCACUUGUAUUGAAGGAUCAGGAAACUAUACUUGUGUUUGUACACUUGGCUAUAAAGGUGUGAACUGUACAGAGGAACAAUCCCAAUGUGAGCCCAAUCCUUGCUUCAACGAUGGAACUUGUGCAGAUAACACUCAGACUAGUAACACCAACUUCAUAUGUUCAUGUUUGCCUGGUUAUACAGGUCAGUUGUGUGAUGGCAACAUUGAUGAGUGUACUAUACUACGACCUUGUCUAAACAAUGCCACAUGUUUGGAUGCUGUCAAUGACUACAGCUGUGUGUGUUCUAUUGGAUGGACUGGAAAGAACUGUUCAGUAGAUAUAGAUGACUGCCUACCUAACCUUUGUUUAAACGGGGGUACUUGUAUUGAUAGGCUGGGAGGAUUUACAUGUCGAUGUCCAGUUGGCUUUACAAAUGUGACUUGUGAUCUUGAGAUUAAUGAGUGCAGCUUUCAGCCCUGUAGAAACAAUGCCACAUGUAUAGAUCUAGUCAACAGUUUCCAAUGUACAUGUCAGCCAGGAUAUACAGGUGUUGCCUGUGAAGUAGAUAUCAAUGAAUGUUUACCUUCCCCCUGUGCUGCAACAUCCACUUGUCUUGAUCAGGUCAACAACUAUACAUGCUUAUGUCCACCAGGUCUACAAGGUCAAAACUGUACUGAAGAUAUUCAAGAAUGUUCAUCUGCUCCUUGUCUUUAUGGUGGGGAGUGUACUGAAGUGGCUCUGGCCAUGUUUACUUGUGUUUGUCUGUCUGGGGUUGAAGGUCAAGUCUGUCAAUUCAUCAGAAGUGUAACCUUUUGGGGAAACAACUCCCUCAGUUUUCCACCUUCCGAGUUGAUGCCAUUGUUAGUCUCUGACAGUCUAAGGAUACAGUUUACACUGACAACCACUGUACUGGAUGGGAUACUACUUCUUGUCACUGGGGUAUCUGUUACUGGCCAACCUCAGCAUGUUGUCCUUGAACUUGGCAACAAUAGCCUGUAUGUGUCUGGGAGUAAUGGUCUUCAGUCAGUCAACAGUGUAGUAGUCUUGCCUUCUGGGUACAUUCACAACUAUGCUGUACUGCUAACCAUUGACAGCUUUAACAUUGCCAUCACACUGACCUCCAAUACUAUCAACACCACACUUGGUACCUCAGUUCAGUUGACUAGUGCAGCCAUGUGGAUCUUGAACAAUGCUUUUGUGUGUGGUGGUGUGCCUUUGUGGACUACAUAUCUUAGAUCUAUUGUCAGAACUACUGCAGGCUUCACAGGAUGUUUUGGAAAUCUUGUUAUCAACAAUCAACCAAUCAAUUUGGCUGUUUCAAGUCAGUUUACUCAGGCCAAUGAAACAACAGCUCCAACAGUUGGUUGUUCAACACACCUCCCAUGUUUCAAUACCACAUGUCUGAAUGGUGGCACUUGUAUUGACAUGUGGGGCUACAAGGCAUGUAAGUGUGUGUCAGGGUUUACAGGAUCCCAGUGUGAGGUACAGAAUGUAGCCAGUUUUGUAGAGCCAAGCAUGUUGUACUUUGAAGGAGAUCAGCUCCUGACACAGGUCUCAUUGGAAGUGAACUUCAGAAAUACAACUGCUGGUCUUCUAGUGUACACUAUCUUUGAAGACAUGCUCUCUGUCAGUGUUAGUGAUGGAGAACUGAGAAUACACUUGGCCUCUCUUGCUUCAUCUUCUGAAAGUGUGCAAAAUGUGACCACUAUUGUACAGCACCAAGGGUGGGUGACUGUUAACAUUCAGUUUAGUGCUAACCUGUAUGUUGUGAAUGUUUCUAGUCCUACAGGAAUGAUUGAAUCAUACUCUGGUGUAUUUGAUCACAUCAUUAGAGUAGUGGAGCCAGUGUUCAUUGGACGACUACACAGUGCAGUGGAUAUGUGGAGGAACAGGAAUAUAUCACUGCCUACUGAUAUGAGUUUCCAAGGCUGCCUGAGAAAUGUCUACAUCAACCAGAAGUUGUUGGACUUAUCAACUAGUACUUCAACACCACUUGGAAAUGACCCUCCUAGGGCAAGUGCAGGAUGUCCUUUAAAUGAACCAUGUGUGACCAAUCCUUGUGGAAAUCAAGGGACCUGUCUAUCUAACUGGACAGGACCAACAUGUCUGUGUAGAGAGGGAUAUAGUGGACAAAACUGUUCUGAGGUUAGUUCAGCCACAUUUGAUGGUUACUCAAGUUACUCACUGGUUCAACUUGACACAACAAAGAUUGCUUUUGGCAGUGAAGGGACACUUGAAUUCCGCACUCGACUGUUGACCUCAACACUUAUGCUUCUUCAAUUCACUGGACUAGGUGGCAGUAACAGCAAGUACAUAGAAAUUCGAAUGUUUGAGGGAAGGCUACAGAUGUACUCUGGUUUUAAUACAGUUGGAGUUGAAUCUAAGCUUAACGUAUCAGAUGGCUUGUGGCAUUCCGUACAUUGGGUUAGAAGAUUGACAGACCUUAUUUUCUUCAUUGAGAAUGAGACAACAACACUACAAGCAGAGUUUGACAUCUACAAUCAGAGUCUUGCUAGUCAGGUCAACAUAUACAUUGGGGCAAGGCCUUUCUUUAUUGGGAGUUCAUCCUACCUUAUAGGAUAUUUCAAAGGCUGCAUCAGAAACAUUUCCUUCAACAAGAUUCCUGUUCAGUUUUCAACAACUCAAUCCUCUGAUGGAUUGAUGGUGAAUGUGUCAAGGCUAACACAGGGAUGUGUGAGUGAUUCAGUGUGUCUGAACAGUUCCUGCCCAGUUAACACUUACUGUGCGGAAGAUUGGAAUCUGAUUCAUUGUCCCUGUCUGGAAGGCUGGGAGGGAGACAAUUGUAGCACCAAUGUCAAUGAUUGUCUCAUUAACAGCUGUUUGAAUGGAGCCACCUGCAAGGAUCAGCUACUUACCUACACCUGUGAGUGCACUGCAGGCUACACUGGUCAGUUCUGUGAAACACCUGUGAAUGACCCAUGCAAUAAUAACACCUGUAUCAUAAAUCAUACGGCUACUUGUGAACCUAUCAAUGCUACACAUUAUAGCUGUAACUGUAUUGCUGGAUACACUGGUCAGUUCUGUGAAACACUUAUGUCUGACCCAUGCAAUAAUAACACCUGUAUCAUAAAUCAUACAGCUACUUGUGAACCUAUCAAUUCUACACAUUAUAACUGCAACUGUAUUGCUGGAUACACUGGUCAGUUCUGUGAAACACUUAUGUCUGACCCAUGCAAUAAUAACACCUGUAUCAUAAAUCAUACAGCUACUUGUGAACCUAUCAAUUCUACACAUUAUAAAUGUAACUGUAUUGCUGGAUACACUGGUCAGUUCUGUGAAACACUUAUAUCUGACCCAUGCAAUAAUAACACCUGUAUCAUAAAUCAUACAACUACUUGUGAACUUAUCAAUUCUACACAUUAUAACUGCAACUGUAUUGCUGGAUACACUGGUCAGUUCUGUGAAACACUUAUAUCUGAUCCAUGCAAUAAUAACACAUGUAUCAUAAAUCAUACAACUACUUGUGAACUUAUCAAUUCUACACAUUAUAACUGCAACUGUAUUGCUGGAUACACUGGUCAGUUCUGUGAAACACUUAUAUCUGAUCCAUGCAAUAAUAACACCUGUAUCAUAAAUCAUACGGCUACUUGUGAACUUAUCAAUUCUACACAUUAUAACUGCAACUGUAUUGCUGGAUACACUGGUCAGUUCUGUGAAACACUUAUAUCUGAUCCAUGCAAUAAUAACACAUGUAUCAUAAAUCAUACAGCUACUUGUGAACCUAUCAAUUCUACACAUUAUAACUGCAACUGUAUUGCUGGAUACACUGGUCAGUUCUGUGAAACACUUAUAUCUGAUCCAUGCAAUAAUAACACCUGUAUCAUAAAUCAUACAGCUACUUGUGAACCUAUCAAUUCUACACAUUAUAAAUGUAACUGUAUUGCUGGAUACACUGGUCAGUUCUGUGAAACACUUAUAUCUGACCCAUGCAAUAAUAACACCUGUAUCAUAAAUCAUACAACUACUUGUGAACUUAUCAAUUCUACACAUUAUAACUGCAACUGUAUUGCUGGAUACACUGGUCAGUUCUGUGAAACACUUAUAUCUGAUCCAUGCAAUAAUAACACCUGUAUCAUAAAUCAUACAGCUACUUGUGAACCUAUCAAUUCUACACAUUAUAAAUGUAACUGUAUUGCUGGAUACACUGGUCAGUUCUGUGAAACACUUAUAUCUGACCCAUGCAAUAAUAACACCUGUAUCAUAAAUCAUACAACUACUUGUGAACUUAUCAAUUCUACACAUUAUAACUGCAACUGUAUUGCUGGAUACACUGGUCAGUUCUGUGAAACACUUAUAUCUGAUCCAUGCAAUAAUAACACCUGUAUCAUAAAUCAUACAGCUACUUGUGAACCUAUCAAUUCUACACAUUAUAAAUGUAACUGUAUUGCUGGAUACACUGGUCAGUUCUGUGAAACACUUAUAUCUGACCCAUGCAAUAAUAACACCUGUAUCAUAAAUCAUACAACUACUUGUGAACUUAUUAAUUCUACACAUUAUAACUGCAACUGUAUUGCUGGAUACACUGGUCAGUUCUGUGAAACACUUAUAUCUGAUCCAUGCAAUAAUAACACCUGUAUCAUAAAUCAUACAGCUACUUGUGAACCUAUCAAUUCUACACAUUAUAAAUGUAACUGUAUUGCUGGAUACACUGGUCAGUUCUGUGAAACACUUAUAUCUGACCCAUGCAAUAAUAACACCUGUAUCAUAAAUCAUACAACUACUUGUGAACUUAUCAAUUCUACACAUUAUAACUGCAACUGUAUUGCUGGAUACACUGGUCAGUUCUGUGAAACACUUAUAUCUGAUCCAUGCAAUAAUAACACCUGUAUCAUAAAUCAUACAGCUACUUGUGAACCUAUCAAUUCUACACAUUAUAACUGCUACUGUAUUGCUGGAUACACUGGUCAGUUCUGUGAAACACUUAUAUCUGAUCCAUGCAAUAAUAACACAUGUAUCAUAAAUCAUACAACUACUUGUGAACUUAUCAAUUCUACACAUUAUAACUGCAACUGUAUUGCUGGAUACACUGGUCAGUUCUGUGAAACACUUAUAUCUGAUCCAUGCAAUAAUAACACCUGUAUCAUAAAUCAUACUGCUACUUGUGAACCUAUCAAUUCUGCACAUUAUAACUGCAACUGUAUUGCUGGAUACACUGGUCAGUUCUGUGAAACACUUAUAUCUGAUCCAUGCAAUAAUAACACCUGUAUCAUAAAUCAUACUGCUACUUGUGAACCAAUCAAUUCUGCACAUUAUAACUGCAACUGUAUUGCUGGAUACACUGGUCAGUUCUGUGAAACACUUAUGUCUGACCCAUGUAGCAGCAAUACCUGCUUCACAAAUCAAACAUCUUCUUGUAAGACUAUUAAUGCUACUCAUUACUCCUGCAUCUGCUCUGCAGGCUACACUGGUCAGUUCUGUGAAACACUCAUGUCUGACUCAUGUGCCAAUAAUACCUGCAUUACAAAUCAAACAGCCUCAUGCAAUGCUUUUAAUGCCACAGAUUAUUCCUGUAUAUGCCUUGCAGGCUACACAGGGCAAUUUUGUGAACUAACUGUUUUUGAUCCAUGUUAUACAAACCACUGUUUUACAAAUCACACAACCUUAUGUGAACCUUUCAAUGCUACACAUUAUUCCUGCAACUGUAUUAAUGGUUAUUCUGGUCAGUUUUGUGAAAUAGCUGUAUCUGAUCCUUGUGACAAAAAUAGUUGCAUUUCUAAUCACACAUCCUAUUGUAAACCCAUUAAUGCAACCCAAUAUUCCUGCAUCUGUAAUGUUGAUUAUACUGGUCACUUCUGUGAGUCUCCUAUACCUAACAUGUGUAUCAAUAGCUCUUGUGUUCAAAACCAGACAGCUUCUUGUGUUGUUAUGAAUGCUACCAAUUAUUUUUGUGACUGUAUUGCUGGUUAUACUGGGCGAUACUGUGACUCCUUUGUGUCUAGUUCUUGUAGUAAUAACUCUUGCCAAAAUGGAGCCACCUGCAGAGGAAAGCUCUUGUCCUACACUUGUGAUUGUGGGACUGGCUACACUGGUCAGUUCUGUGAACUGCCUGUCUAUGACCCAUGUGAUAAUAAUAGCUGCAUCCUAAAUCAUACAGCCACUUGUGUAUCCUUGAAUACCACAAGUUACUUUUGUGUUUGUAAUGAUGGCUACACUGGUCAGUUCUGUGAAAUAGCAAAUUUCAACGAAUGUUACAAUAACAGCUGUGUUAUGAAUCACACAGCCUCUUGUCAGUACAUAAAUACUACAGAUUAUUCUUGUAUCUGCAAAAAUGGGUUCGCUGGUCAGUUUUGUGAAACUUCUAUAUCUGACUCAUGUGUUGACAAUUUCUGCAUUAAAAAUCAAACAGUCACAUGUGCAUCCACUAAUACUUCUUAUUAUAGAUGCAUCUGCAAAUCUGGAUUUACUGGACAGAGGUGUGAAACACUUAUUGAAGCCUGUAGCUCUUACCCCUGUUUAAAUAAUGCAACCUGUAGUGGAAUACUGAACAACUUUGUCUGCUCUUGUCCACCUGGAUGGACAGGUCAGUAUUGUGAGAACCCUAACCCUUGUGUAUCUCAACCCUGCUAUAACAGUGGGACAUGUCUACUGAGCCAGCUAUCUGACAUGUCCAAUGUCACUCUUCCAUACACAUGCCAGUGUGUUUGGCCUUUUUACAGCACCCAGUGCCAGCACUACAAUUACUGUGUCAGCAAUCCAUGUCAGAACAACUCCACUUGUGUGCUUGACCUUAACAGUUACCAGUGUCACUGUCCAACUGGCUACUAUGGCAAUAAUUGCCAAUAUCAAGACUUGUGUUUAUCUCAGCCAUGUUUAAAUGGUGGGGAGUGUCGGCCUGAUCAAAGUUCUUACAUCUGUCUCUGUCGCUGGAAUUAUUCUGGAACUAAGUGUGAGAUCCCAGUUAACUUGUGUGACUACAACAUCUGCUGGAAUGGUGGGACCUGCAUUUACAACUCAUCUUCUGACCUCAAUGCAGCUUAUUGCCACUGCCAUGAUGGAUUCACGGGUAGCCAUUGUGAAACUGAUAUAAAUGAAUGCAUCAGUCAGCCUUGCUUCAACAAUGGAACCUGUGUGGACAGUAGAAACUUUUUCCAGAACUCAAGUGUGUUUGUUGGGUUUCAGUGUGUCUGUUAUCCUGGUUAUACUGGACCUCUCUGUGCUGAUGAGGUAGAUGAGUGCCAGCAGGGAUUGUGCCGAAACAAUAGCACCUGUGUGGAUGCUGUGAAUAGUUUUACAUGUGUCUGUCUACCAGGCUAUACUGGCAUUUACUGUCAGAUGGAUAGUAGAGGCUGUGCAUCUAAACCUUGCCACAAUAACGCUUCAUGUUAUGAAAGUGGAGAUAAUUAUGUAUGCCACUGUUUAGAAGGGUUCACAGGCAAAACAUGCGAAGUCAACAUUGAUGACUGCCAAAAUGUCACAUGUCAAAAUGGAGCUCAGUGUCAAGAUGGCAUUAAUCAAUUUAGAUGUGCCUGUUUACCUGGUUACUCUGGACAAAUAUGUGAAAUUAUCACAGACUCAUGCUAUAGUCAACCUUGUUAUUACAAUGGCAGAUGUACUUACCAGGGUGUAUGUAGUUGUACAGAUGUUGUCCAGUCCUGUGGAUGGUCAGAUGAAAAGUGCCAGGUAGACAAAUGUCAAGCUAGGAGUGACUGCCACAGUAUAUCCCCAUCUUACCUGUGUAAUUGUACAGGAACUGGCUACACUGGUAUACAGUGUACUGUAGAUGAUAAUGAAUGUCUGAACUCGCCCUGUUUACAUGGAGGUAUUUGUGUCAACUUUGAAGGGGGCUUCAGCUGUAAUUGUCAAGGCACUGGUUACCAUGGAACUCAGUGCCACCUAGAUGAUGAUGAAUGCCAAGGUCAUGAUGUUUGCUAUAAUGGAGGUACAUGUUUGAAUACACCUGGCAGCUACCAAUGUGUAUGUACAUCUUACUGGACUGGACCAAGGUGUGGACAGAACAAAGAUGACUGUGAGACCAACCCUUGUAGUCAUGGUGGUCAGUGCAUGGAUUUAGUGAAUGGCUACACAUGUAAUUGUACUGGAACAGGGUACCAAGGAAUUAACUGUAGUGAUAACAUUGAUGAUUGCCUUAAUAACAGAUGUGUUAAUGGAGGUGUGUGUGUUGAUGGGAUCAGACAGUACACAUGUCUUUGUAACACAGGCUACACUGGACAGUUCUGUGAGAUUGCUGCUAACAAUUGCCAAAUCAUUGCCUGUCAAAAUAAAGGAGUCUGUGAGAAUGGUCUUACUUGUAACUGUAGUAACACUGGAUUCACUGGAGACUUAUGUCAAUUUGAUGUUGAUGAAUGUUCCAGUGGCUCAGAUGGAUGUAGUAAUGGGUCUAAAUGUGUCAACAUAGCCGGAAGUUAUUUUUGUGAAUGUACCUCUUCAACUACAGGGUCCAAGUGUGAGUUUCCACUGCCUCAAGCUUCCACUACACAAUCUCUCAGUGAUGGAGCUCUUGCUGCCAUUAUUGUCCUUCUUCUCAUUCUGAUCAUACUUAUAUUAGUGGCUGUCCUGUGGCAGAUCCUCAGGAGGAGGUCCACUCAUGGGGUCUACAAACCUGCUGAGGCUGAGACUCAGGUCUGGAGAGAAGAUGUACCAUUGAACAAGGUCUCUAGUGAAAGACAAGUGUUAGUCUAACUCUUCUGUUUGUGUUUCUUCCUGUUACAAUGCGCCGCCAUGAUGCUGUCUCAUGUGCUUCUGUGAACAUAUUGCCAUUCGUAUCUCUUCCUAGCGUGUCAAUACAGAAUCUUCACCUUUUUCGCUUGCAAUUUGUUUCUUAUGGCUAGUAAUCAGCAGAUCUGAGGACAUGCUUUCUGCAAAGCAAAAGUCAAAACAACUUUAAAAUUUAAUUAGCCUGUAUGAGGGAGCAUUUUCCAAAGGCUGAAGCCUAUUUGGACUAGGCAAGCUAUUGGACUCGAGACAAAAAUACACUUUCUCAACACAAUCGUCAUUCCAAUUGCAACAUAUGCAAGUGAGACAUGGAAGUCAUCUGACACCAGGUGGAGGGAGGCUUCAGACAUUGCCAAUGACAGAUCUUUAUGGAGACAGCUUGCUGCCCAAUGCGGGCGAACAGCGCGGGAGGACCUAAGUCUAAGUAAGUAUGAUAGAAACAUUGAACUAAGAGGAGAAAUAGUUUUUAUAACAUUAGUUUAGAAAGGAAAACAAUUUGUUCAUGAAUGUUUUACAUAUUCACAAAAUAACUCACUUAAUAUAUAGUUUCUUGUACUAUAAAUGGUGACACUUUAAAAUGGUGUCUUUUAAUGGGGAAAAAAAAUUUUCAACAUUGAACAGUUUGCUUUUAUUCAACAAGAAAGUAGCCGUUGCAUUGAGCUUUGUAACAUCUACACGAAACUAAUGGCGGCUUUUCGUACUUCAUUAAAACCUAAGGAGUUAAAUACAUGAUUUCUGAUCUAUGCCCUCUGUCUAUAUUUCUUGAAAGAACUGCUCUCUCUCUCUCUCUCUACGUGAUGUCACAUUAAAUGCCUUAGCUUCACUAGCUCCUGAUUUUUCUUCCUAAUCUAUGUUGGGCCUUAAGAUUAGGGAACGAUUUAGGACUGACUUACGAGACUCUCAAGCAGAAAGUAACCACACAACUGGUUUCUAAGCACUUGAAUCUUCUUGUAAACCAUGCUACUUUAAGAAUAGUUAUUCAUACCAAUCCAUUUUCCGGCUUCCUUCUCUCUCUCUCGUCACUUUCAUUCAGUACUUGCAUGUGCACCAUUCUACAUUCACACCACUCUGCAUUCGCACCAUUCUACAUUCGCACCACUCUGCAUUCCAAUGGUAACAUUUGGAUUUAAGUUUUUUCCUAUCCCUCCCUCUGCCCCUUUUAUCAAUGAUUAAUAGUUUCACUGAGUCUGAGCCACAAGUGAAAAAGUUGGACUGGAUGUCAGGGACUGUGUGGAGACGUAUUCCAGUGGAAGUUGUUGUUUUGUUUUAAGUGUUAAUAACUACUCUCUCUUGACAACUAACGUUUGUAUGGAAGAAAACAAAGCAAUAUUGGCAGUGGACAUUUCUAUCUUUGUUGUUCAUACCUCUCAGUUCAGCAUUCACAUUUUGAGAUCUCAAUGUGUUUGAACUAAUCUUAGUUUUGUUUUCCUGAAUAUAUAUUUUUUUGUUAUAAAUGUUCAAGUCGCAUACUAUGUACUCGUCUAUUUAUGUCAUCAUGAUAUUGUAAUAACUGAAGGGAGGCAACUCAACGAUACAUAGAUGUUUAUUUACAGUACAUCACAAAUACAUGUAGAACAACAUGUCUUGAGCACAGCAUCUUUAUCUAGGCUCUCCACUUGGGCGGAAAUCGUUCUCUCUCUCAUGUCAACAUCCGACUUAGUCUUGUCACUAAUAGUGCGAACCUUCUUUCUGCACUAGCCUGGAUUGCGGUGCGCAUGGCAGAGUUAUAGCAUUGCCCCCUUUUUAGAGCUUUUUAUCCCGAAAAGAAACAGUGCAGUGGAGGUUAGACAGUUCAGGUCGAGGUCGAUCGGUGGGAGACACAGGCGGCAGGGAGCGUGUUCCCCACGAAGUCAUCCGCUCUGGUUUCCUCUGGUGCCGCUUUCUCUUCCGCCAGUUGACCAGGCUGUUGUUGAGACGACGACGUGGCCGUUUGACACACAAAGAGAUAGUGUCGAGCACUGUUUUCUUCAACACAGCCGUUGAUCGGACACGCUGUCUCAGCAAACCUUCCCGACAGACGCCUCUCAAGGGAGCUGCAGGUUCACAUGCAGCCACGUUGCAAACAAAGUUCAAUGCGCUGCAGUCACCCUCACCCAACAGUUUCACAUCCAGGAGAUAGGUCUCUUCAAGUUCAAGUUUCGAAUGUCUUUCUCUUAACAGCUCAGAUUUAGCCUGGGUUGAAUGGCAUUCGUCUAUGCCAAUGUCGAUGAUGAUGGCAGAAGUACACAUGCCCUGUUUGUAGUUUUGUUGGCUUCCACAUUUCCUGUGUGAUGCGCCGCACGUACAGCUCAUGCUAAACUUCUGGAUGCAGUUGUCGAGCUUCGAAUUUCCCUUGUAGGCACCGACAGAUGUCUUUAAAGUCCAUAGCAACAUGCUUGAACGCAGACCCAACGUUGUCUUGAUCUGUCCGGCUCAUUGAGAUACUGGUAACAGGUCCAACAGGAACAAACGCUUCAGGCACAUAACAGACUUCUGUUUCUUCAUUUGUCUCUUUCCUUUCAAUUCGAUACAUCCCGUUGAGAUCGUCGCAGCAAUCGUUGUCACGUUUCUCGUUUUGAAAGUCACAACCACAAGACUUGCCCAAACACAAACACAGACGGCGCUCCAAUCCCCAGCGUCUCCCCAGCGUCUCCGUCACUACUGUUUGUGCAGCUACAAUCUUGACCACGCAACUUCUUUAACAACAGGUCUACAGGCAACUGCUCCUUUACCAACGAGUCUACUCCUUCUUUCGCUUGAGACACCAUUUUAUCUACCUUGUUCCCCAUACUGUUAAUAUGUUGACACAUUGCAUCAAUAUCUCCAUGUAUCCAAUGAGCUCAUAAAUUUCCGGUUCCAUUUCAAAUAGGCAGGUCUCCGGAUCUUCGUCUUCAUCUAUCAGGGCUUGACGAGCUGUGAGCACCUCCUUGCUGCCUUAGCUCUUUAACUAAAAGCUGGUCUAGUUGUUUCAACGAUGCCAUUGUGAUUGAAUCCUACCUCUUCUCGUUGAGUCGCCUAUGAUCCCACUUCUGACACCAAUGUAAUAACUGAAGGGAGGCAACUCAACGAGACAUAGAUGUUUAUUUACAGGACAUCACAAAUACAUGUAGAACAACUCGUAGAACAAAUCGUUCUCUCUCUCAUGUCAACAUCCGACUUAGUCUUGUCACUAAUAGUGCGAACCUUCUUUCUGCACUAGCCUGGAUUGCGGUGCGUAUGGCAAAGUUAUAACAAUAUUGUUGUAGGUAAUAACAGCCGAUGUAUUUAUUUACAGCAAGUAUAAACAAACAGGUUUGAACUUCAGCUAUCGAGUCCCAGAGUGUCUAAAGUUUCACCUGUCCUUUUCUAUCUAUCUUCCCAGUGCCGCCCCGGGUCCUAAAUACAGUUCACAGAUAGCACAAAGGCCGGCUCUUUAGCCAAGUCAGCUCUGACUCUAAUAACUUGCAGAUCACUUCAGCCGGAUCUACAACAGUCCUAGUAUCAACAUGUCUUCUUCUAUACGUGUUGAAGAGUGCUCUGAUGCGCACCAUCAGUAUCGGCGCGGGAGCAGAGUUACAACAUUGCCCCCUUCUCAGCUCUGUUCGUUCCGAACAGAUUUAUGUGCACUACAGGUUAGUGGACUUUGGUCAAUGCGGGUGGAGGUCGGUCUAUGGGAGCCAUAGACGGCAGGAAGCGUGUUCCCCACGAAGCCAUCUGCACUCUUCUAUGUGGGUGCCGCUUUCUCUUUCUCCAGUUGGUCAGUCCGUUCUUGAGACGAUGUCGUGAUUGUUGCGUUGACUUCUUUAUGAUCGUUGUCGUUGACUUCUUUAUGAUCGUUGUCGUUGACUUCUUCAUGAUCGUUGUCGUUGACUUCUUCAUGAUCGUUGUCGUUGACUUCUUCAUGAUCGUUGUCGUUGACUUCUUCAUGAUCGUUGUCGUUGACUUCUUCAUGAUCAUUGUCGUUGACUUCUUCAUGAUCAUUGUCGUUGACUUCUUCAUGAUCGUUGUUGUUGACUUCUUUAUGAUCGUUGUUGUUGACUUCUUUAUGAUCGUUGUUGUUGACUUCUUUAUGAUCGUUGUCGUUGACUUCUUUAUGAUCGUUGUCGUUGACUUCUUUAUGAUCGUUGUCGUUGACUUCUUCAUGAUCGUUGUCGUUGACUUCUUCAUGAUCGUUGUCGUUGACUUCUUCAUGAUCGUUGUCGUUGACUUCUUCAUGAUCGUUGUCGUUGACUUCUUCAUGAUCAUUGUCGUUGACUUCUUCAUGAUCGUUGUUGUUGACUUCUUUAUGAUCGUUGUUGUUGACUUCUUUAUGAUCGUUGUUGUUGACUUCUUUAUGAUCGUUGUCGUUGACUUCUUCAUGAUCGUUGUCGUUGACUUCUUCAUGAUCGUUGUCGUUGACUUCUUCAUGAUCGUUGUCGUUGACUUCUUCAUGAUCGUUGUCGUUGACUUCUUCAUGAUCGUUGUCGUUGACUUCUUCAUGAUCGUUGUUGUUGACUUCUUUAUGAUCGUUGUUGUUGACUUCUUUAUGAUCGUUGUUGUUGACUUCUUUAUGAUCGUUGUCGUUGACUUCUUUAUGAUCGUUGUCGUUGACUUCUUUAUGAUCGUUGUCGUUGACUUCUUCAUGAUCGUUGUCGUUGACUUCUUCAUGAUCGUUGUCGUUGACUUCUUCAUGAUCGUUGUCGUUGACUUCUUCAUGAUCGUUGUCGUUGACUUCUUCAUGAUCAUUGUCGUUGACUUCUUCAUGAUCGUUGUUGUUGACUUCUUUAUGAUCGUUGUUGUUGACUUCUUUAUGAUCGUUGUUGUUGACUUCUUUAUGAUCGUUGUCGUUGACUUCUUUAUGAUCGUUGUCGUUGACUUCUUCAUGAUCGUUGUCGUUGACUUCUUCAUGAUCGUUGUCGUUGACUUCUUCAUGAUCGUUGUCGUUGACUUCUUCAUGAUCGUUGUCGUUGACUUCUUCAUGAUCGUUGUCGGUGAUGCUCGCCUUCAGACACAUAUAGAGGUAGUGGCGAUACCUGUAGUUGUCAUCAGGGCAGUUGUUCCUGCAUCCAGGUUCAGCAGACCUUGUCGAUGGACGUCCUGUGACAUAGUUGUAGACCCACAGGUAGCCAUGGUUUCAAACACAUGGUCAUUGUCAGAUACGUCACUAAGGCAUGCCCACGAAGCAACCUUACAAGGUUCUGUGUGUAAAUAUUCAAGUGUUGGCUCAGGUUCCACUGGAUAAGAUUCACUAUCGAUGCCCCUGUCAAUUGUGAAGGCAGAAGUACAAAUAUCUUUUGGGUGCUGGCUUUCUUGAUGGCUUUCUUCGCAUUUGCACUCAAUGUCUGUUUCUAUACGUGUGGAACAGUGCUCUGAUGGGCACCAGCAGUAUCGGUAUGUAUAGUUAGGUCAUCAUGGUAUGUAUAGUUAGGUCAUCAUGGUAUGUAUAGUUAGGUCAUCAUGGUAUGUAUAGUUAGGUCAUCAUGGUAUGUAUAGUUAGGUCAUCAUGAUAUGUAUAGUUAGGUCAUCAUGGUAUGUAUAGUUAGGUCAUCAUGAUAUGUAUAGUUAUGUCCAGGAAAACACUCAACAUGUUAAUGAUAACAUAGAUAAGGAUUUAAUGAUUAAAUAAAGAACACACACAAACCACAGAAUGUCAGUUUUGUUCUAGAUCUAGUUUGGUUCAGCAAAAUAAGCCGGCAUUUACUACCAUGUCUCCAUUUCCUUCUCCUCUUGCUCCACGCUCGUGUGGCACAGUGUCUAGUGCGCACCAUGUAUCUCAGUGCGGGAAUAGAGUUAACAACAAUAUGUAUAGUUAUGUCAUCACGAUACGUAUAGUUAUGGCAUCAUGGUAUGUAUAGUUAGGUCAUCAUGAUAUGUAUAGUUAGGUCAUCAUGAUAUGUAUAGUUAUGUCAUCAUGGUAUGUAUAGUUAGGUCAUCAUGGUAUGUAUAGUUAGGUCAUCAUGAUAUGUAUAGUUAGGUCAUCAUGAUAUGUAUAGUUAUGGCAUCAUGAUAUGUAUAGUUAUGGCAUCAUGAUAUGUAUAGUUAUGUCAUCAUGAUAUGUAUAGUUAUGUCAUCAUGAUAUGUAUAGUUAUGUCAUCAUGACAUGUAUGUUUAUGGCAUCAUGAUAUUUUAAUAACUGAAGGGAGGCAACUCAACGAGACAUAGAUGUUUUGCCAUGGAGAUGUGACAAACACAUAGGACAUCUGCCUUGAACACAGCAUCUUCAUUUCGGCUCUAGACUUGUGCGGAAAUCGUUCUCUCUUCUCUAAUGUCAACAUCCUUCCUAGUCUAGUCAUUAAUAGUGCGCACCUUCUGCACUAUCUUGAAUGGUGGGGUUAAAACAAUAUGUAUGUUUAUGGCAUCAUGAUAUGAUGCUGUCUUAUAACUUUAUGGCAUCAUGCUAUUUAUAUUUAUGUUAUUAUGUUAUGUAGAUCUAUAUUUAUCAUAUCAUUUAUCAUAUUCAUCAUGCUAUCUUAUAUAAUUAUAAUACGCAUAUUUAUGUCAUUAUGUUAUGUUUAGUAUACUUAUAUUAUGUUAUGUAUAUUUUUGUCAUUAUGUUGUGUAUAUUUAUAUAUUUAUGUAUAUUUUUGUCAUUAUGUCAUGUAUGUUUAUGUUAUUAUGUUAUGUAGAUCUAUAUUUAUCAUAUCAUUUAUCAUAUUCAUUUAGCUGACAUGUGUAUAUGUAUGGUCGUGCUCCUGGGUAGUACAGCAGUAAGUACUUCAACUGUCGAUACUUUUGGUCUUAUUACUUUCAAAUGUAAGCCUAUGAAGCACAAAUAAAUAGGGUAUUGAUAUCAAA